UACGUAGGGUGCAAGCGUUGUCCGGAAUUAUUGGGCGUAAAGAGCUCGUAGGCGGUCUGUCGCGUCUGCUGUGAAAACCCAGGGCUUAACCCUGGGCUUGCAGUGGAUACGGGCAGACUAGAGGCAGGUAGGGGAGAAUGGAAUUCCCGGUGUAGCGGUGAAAUGCGCAGAUAUCAGGAGGAACACCGGUGGCGAAGGCGGUUCUCUGGGCCUGUACUGACGCUGAGGAGCGAAAGCGUGGGGGAGCGAACAGG
RNAcentral lists this ribosomal RNA (254 nucleotides) under uncultured bacterium. RNAcentral describes it as "partial 16S ribosomal RNA". It matches the Rfam family "Bacterial small subunit ribosomal RNA", at positions 524 to 776 of the family's 1533-position model. The record is from RNAcentral.